This 291-nucleotide unclassified non-coding RNA is filed under the name Ascomycota sp. RNAcentral describes it as "partial contains small subunit ribosomal RNA, internal transcribed spacer 1, and 5.8S ribosomal RNA". The stretch from base 1 to 47 matches the Rfam family "Eukaryotic small subunit ribosomal RNA", at positions 1785 to 1831 of the family's 1831-position model. Lineage: Eukaryota; Fungi; Ascomycota. The record is from RNAcentral.
AAAGUCGUAACAAGGUCUCCGUUGGUGAACCAGCGGAGGGAUCAUUAAAAGAAGCCGAAAGGCUGCUUCAAACCAUCGCGAACCUAUCCAUCAGCGUUGCUUCGGCGGGAGAAGGCCCCCGGACACACAUCCCCCCGCGGGGGGGUGUGAAGUCCGCGGCGCGGGGCACCCUCGUCUCCGGACCUUGGGGACCCGCCCGCCGGAGGUACGAAACUCUUCUGUAAUCUCUGCGGCAUCUCUGAGUGGCAAGCAAACAAGUCAAAACUUUCAACAACGGAUCUCUUGGUUCUG